GCUCCCAUGGCGUAGUGGUCACUGCGCUCGCCUUGCACGCGGGAGACCAGGGUUCGAUUCCCGGCGGGGGGG
RNAcentral lists this transfer RNA (72 nucleotides) under Diaphorina citri (Asian citrus psyllid). It matches the Rfam family "tRNA". Rfam says of the family: Transfer RNA (tRNA) molecules are approximately 80 nucleotides in length. Their secondary structure includes four short double-helical elements and three loops (D, anti-codon, and T loops). The record is from Rfam by way of RNAcentral. Lineage: Eukaryota; Metazoa; Arthropoda; Insecta; Hemiptera; Psyllidae.